AUGAAUUACCUGACAAAGUAUGCAUUUCCAAGAGAACAUGAGCUUCCUUCUCUGGCUUUCUGUGUGGAAAUUGCAGGAGUUGAUUAUUUUGUUAGUCUUGUGACCUUUUGGUCAACCUGUAUCUCAACCUGGAAGGGGCAGACAAUAUCUGGUCAACAAUGGAGAAGACUGGCUGUGCUCCAACUCUCAGUUGCAAAAAAAUAUAUGGUCAGGGUGUUACUGGAGAAAGGUGAAGUAAUCAGGGCCGGAGGUUAUCUUUCUAAAAUUGAUGAGAAGAAUUUAGUACUUGAAGCUUCAACCGUUGAGCUGCAGUCGAUGAUCUCUCUCUCUCUUCCAAAGGACAGAGACAUGCCAGAAAAUAUAGUAUUUCUUUUCCUCUGGACGUUCAAGGAUGCUGUAAUAAUCUGUGCCGGACCUGAGGUUCUCAUCUGA
This 432-nucleotide ribosomal RNA is filed under the name Triticum aestivum (bread wheat). RNAcentral describes it as "partial small subunit ribosomal RNA". The record is from RNAcentral. Lineage: Eukaryota; Viridiplantae; Streptophyta; Magnoliopsida; Poales; Poaceae.